This 425-nucleotide ribosomal RNA is filed under the name uncultured bacterium. Its description in RNAcentral is "bacterial SSU rRNA". It matches the Rfam family "Bacterial small subunit ribosomal RNA", at positions 354 to 796 of the family's 1533-position model. The record is from RNAcentral.
GUGGGGAAUAUUGGACAAUGGGCGAAAGCCUGAUCCAGCAAUGCCGCGUGAGUGAUGAAGGCCUUAGGGUUGUAAAGCUCUUUUACCCGGGAUGAUAAUGACAGUACCGGGAGAAUAAGCUCCGGCUAACUCCGUGCCAGCAGCCGCGGUAAUACGGAGGGAGCUAGCGUUGUUCGGAAUUACUGGGCGUAAAGCGCACGUAGGCGGCUUUGUAAGUUAGAGGUGAAAGCCUAGAGCUUAACUCCAGAACUGCCUUUAAGACUGCAUCGCUUGAAUCCAGGAGAGGUGAGUGGAAUUCCGAGUGUAGAGGUGAAAUUCGUAGAUAUUCGGAAGAACACCAGUGGCGAAGGCGGCUCACUGGACUGGUAUUGACGCUGAGGUGCGAAAGCGUGGGGAGCAAACAGGAUUAGAUACCCCUGUAGUCC